RNAcentral lists this ribosomal RNA (456 nucleotides) under uncultured bacterium. Its description in RNAcentral is "bacterial SSU rRNA". It matches the Rfam family "Bacterial small subunit ribosomal RNA", at positions 340 to 786 of the family's 1533-position model. The record is from RNAcentral.
UACGGAAGGCAGCAGUGGGGAAUAUUGCACAAUGGGCGCAAGCCUGAUGCAGCCAUGCCGCGUGUAUGAAAAAGGCCUUCGGGUUGUAAAGUACUUUCAGUCGUGAGGAAGGUGUUAAGGUUAAUAACCUUAGCAAUUGACGUUAGCGACAGAAGAAGCACCGGCUAACUCCGUGCCAGCAGCCGCGGUAAUACGGAGGGUGCGAGCGUUAAUCGGAAUUACUGGGCGUAAAGGGCACGCAGGCGGUUAAUUAAGUUGGAUGUGAAAUCCCCGGGCUUAACCUGGGAAUGGCAUUCAAGACUGGUUAGCUAGAGUCUUGUAGAGGGGGGUUAGAAUUCCAUGUGUAGCGGUGAAAUGCGUAGAGAUGUGGAGGAAUACCGGUGGCGAAGGCGGCCCCUGGACAAAGACUGACGCUCAUGUGCGAAAGCGUGGGGAGCGAAACAGGGAUUAGAUACC